GAUGAACGCUGGCGGCGUGCCUAAUACAUGCAAGUCGAGCGAACGGACGAGAAGCUUGCUUCUCUGAUGUUAGCGGCGGACGGGUGAGUAACACGUGGAUAACCUACCUAUAAGACUGGGAUAACUUCGGGAAACCGUAGCUAAUACCGGAUAAUAUUUUGAACCGCAUGGUUCAAAAGUGAAAGACGGUCUUGCUGUCACUUAUAGAUGGAUCCGCGCUGCAUUAGCUAGUUGGUAAGGUAACGGCUUACCAAGGCAACGAUGCAUAGCCGACCUGAGAGGGUGAUCGCCCACACUGGAAGUGAGACACGCCCCAGCCCCCUACGGGAGGCAGCAGGAGGGAUUCUUCCGCAGGGGGCGAAGGCCGAACGGGCCAACCCCGCGUGAGUGAUGAGGGUUUUGGGAUCGUAAACCUUUGUUAUUAGGAAAAAACAUAUGUGAAAUAAACUGUGCACUUCUUGCCGUCACCAAAUAAAAACCCCAGGCCUAACUACGUC
RNAcentral lists this ribosomal RNA (497 nucleotides) under uncultured bacterium. RNAcentral describes it as "partial 16S ribosomal RNA". It matches the Rfam family "Bacterial small subunit ribosomal RNA", at positions 28 to 507 of the family's 1533-position model. The record is from RNAcentral.